RNAcentral lists this ribosomal RNA (253 nucleotides) under uncultured bacterium. RNAcentral describes it as "partial 16S ribosomal RNA". It matches the Rfam family "Bacterial small subunit ribosomal RNA", at positions 524 to 776 of the family's 1533-position model. The record is from RNAcentral.
UACAGAGGUCCCAAGCGUUGUUCGGAUUCACUGGGCGUAAAGGGUGCGUAGGCGGUCGGGUAAGUCUGGCAUGAAAUCUCCAAGCCUAACUUGGAAACUGCGUUGGAUACUAUCCGGCUCGAGGAAUGGAGGGGAGACUGGAAUACUUGGUGUAGCAGUGAAAUGCGUAGAUAUCAAGUGGAACACCAGUGGCGAAGGCGAGUCUCUGGACAUUUCCUGACGCUGAGGCACGAAAGCCAGGGGAGCAAACGGG